This 30-nucleotide non-coding RNA is filed under the name Mus musculus (house mouse). The record is from RNAcentral. Lineage: Eukaryota; Metazoa; Chordata; Mammalia; Rodentia; Muridae.
UCUGACUGCAACCCUUAAGAAUGGGGUCUC